GCGGAAGUAGCUCACCUGGUAGAGCGACAGCUUCCCAAGCUGUAGGUAGCCGGUUCGAGUCCGGUCUUCCGCU
Molecule: transfer RNA, 73 nt
Filed under: Niabella drilacis
Lineage: Bacteria; Pseudomonadati; Bacteroidota; Chitinophagia; Chitinophagales; Chitinophagaceae
Also listed under: 10 other names
Rfam family: tRNA
About the family: Transfer RNA (tRNA) molecules are approximately 80 nucleotides in length. Their secondary structure includes four short double-helical elements and three loops (D, anti-codon, and T loops).
Source: Rfam by way of RNAcentral